GUAGGGAAUAUUGGACAAUGGGGGCAACCCUGAUCCAGCGACGCCGCGUGAGUGACGAAGGCCUUCGGGUCGUAAAGCUCUGUUGCAAGGGAAAAACAAAAUGAUGGUACCUUGCUAGAAAGGAUCGGCUAACUUCGUGCCAGCAGCCGCGGUAAGACGAGGGAUCCUAGCGUUGUUCGGAAUUAUUGGGCGUAAAGCGGGUGUAGGUGGCUUUGUAAGUCAGGUGUGAAAGCCUGGGGCUUAACCCCAGAAGUGCAUUUGAUACUGCGAAGCUUGAGUGCUGGAGAGGCUACUAGAAUUCUUGGUGUAGUGGUGAAAUACGUAGAUAUCAAGAGGAAUACCGGAGGCGAAGGCGGGUAGCUGGCCAGACACUGACACUCAGACCCGAAAGCGUGGGGAUCAAACAGGAUUAGAAACCCGGGUAGUCC
Molecule: ribosomal RNA, 428 nt
Filed under: uncultured bacterium
Lineage: Bacteria
Description: partial 16S ribosomal RNA
Rfam family: Bacterial small subunit ribosomal RNA
Source: RNAcentral